UCAGAAUUCAGAGUUUGGAUUGGAAUUAGAUUUGGUCUUCCUGUUUCUUACCAUCCUUGCAAGUUUCGGGCAAAUCCUCACCGUGAGGUAAAACAGUGGGAGUAAUUUGAUCGAUCAAAAACCGUUUAAUUCAUUCGGGACAAAACUGUGGCACGAUCGACGAAUCCAUGGCGACAAUAUGACAACGCGACAACGAAUGCAACAAAUCUAUGUUUUGUUUUGUACAGUGAAGAACUCAAUCGAAAGAACAGGAGAUGACAGGGGAAACUGAAGCGACGAUCGAUCUCGCUCACCAACACGCCCAUUGCCAUUGCAGCCGAAGCAAUCGAGGAAAGGGCACCGUCUUCUUGUAAUCCCUUUGAUGCGCGUUUGCCCUUCCGUCUCGUUUGAUCCGGUGAAACGACGGGUGGGGAACGAGAGGUCACGCCCGGCCGGCGCCGUCGUGUGGCGGCGGCGGGUUGAAGAGCGGCGGCGCGUCGCGGCCGCCGAGGUCCAUGGAUGACUUGGCGGAGGCCGGCGGGGCGACGAAGCGGGCGGAGAAGUCGCGGGAGCCGG
This 555-nucleotide long non-coding RNA is filed under the name Oryza brachyantha (malo sina). RNAcentral describes it as "long non-coding RNA (OBRA_LNC000625)". Lineage: Eukaryota; Viridiplantae; Streptophyta; Magnoliopsida; Poales; Poaceae. The record is from RNAcentral.